CCGUCAGCUGAUAGGGAGAGAAUAAAAAACUUCCAGACAUUACAUAAUGUUAUUUGGAACAAUACACGCACUUCCUUUGUGAAAAGCUUGUUUACACGUUUUGGUCGGACAUAUCACACGUCAAGUGAGCACUGGUCAUAAUGAUGAGAAUCCUUUAUUGAGCUUCUUCUGCUUGGAAUAAGCUCCAUCAGCAUCAGACACCAAACACAGAUCCUACUUAGGUCUACAGCCGAGCAGGUGAAGUCCCACUGAGCGCUCAGAAUGCAGCAGGACGUUCCCUUCGCAAGCUGUGACUCACUGAGGCUGUGUGACUGUGUGACACACCUCACAUACUGUGAUCAGAUGAGUGUGUGUGUGUGUUCUCUUUUUUUUUAUUUCAAGCAACACUAGUUUCUUUUUUAUAUUAAUAUGAUGUCUUCAGAAUCAUUUUGAUGCUUCACAAACUUGUUUUCACAGUUCCCUGAACGCCUCGUGUUGCUCUGAGGAACUAUGGCGAACCUGUAGGAAACCACAACACUGACCUGUACAAUGAAUAUUAUGGACAAUGUGUUUAUAUCCAUUACACACACAGUAAAUGAGUAGAAAACAAGUUUCACUUCAGCUGAACUGAAACUCUGUGGUUAGUUUCCAUCUGACGUCUCAACUAAUAAAACUUUGUUCUGUCAGAAACUGUUCAA
Long non-coding RNA from Scophthalmus maximus (turbot), 677 nucleotides. RefSeq lists it as uncharacterized. The record is from RefSeq and is a predicted model, not a curated record. Lineage: Eukaryota; Metazoa; Chordata; Actinopteri; Pleuronectiformes; Scophthalmidae. The transcript has 2 exons.